This 510-nucleotide ribosomal RNA is filed under the name Ptycta monticola. RNAcentral's name for it is "partial 16S ribosomal RNA". The stretch from base 377 to 510 matches the Rfam family "Bacterial large subunit ribosomal RNA", at positions 2473 to 2607 of the family's 2925-position model. Lineage: Eukaryota; Metazoa; Arthropoda; Insecta; Psocodea; Psocidae. The record is from RNAcentral.
AAAACAUGUCUUUUUGAUAAAAAUUUAAAGUCAGGUCUGCUCACUGAAUUAAUUUAAAGAGCCGCAGUAUAUUGACUGUGCAAAGGUAGCAUAAUCAUUAGUUUUUUAAUUGGGAACUAGAAUGAAAGAUUAGACGAAAAAUUAAUUUUCUUUAUUUUAAUAAAUUUAACUUUAAAUUUAAGUGAAAAUGCUUAAAUAUAAUUAAAAGACGAGAAGACCCUAUAGAUUUUUAUUAUCGAAAUAAAUUUUUAAAUUUAAUUUAGUAAAAUAAUUUAAUUGGGGCGAUUUUAUAAUAUAAAUAACUUAAUUUUUUAAAACCAUAAAUAAUUGAAUAUUUGAUCUAAAAUUUUUAAAGAAAAGAUUAAAUUACCUUAGGGAUAACAGCGUAAUUUUAUUUAAGAGUUCAUAUCUAUAAUAAAGUUUGCGACCUCGAUGUUGAAUUAAGAUAAUAUAUUGGAGUAGAAAUUAAUAUAAUUAGUCUGUUCGACUAUUAAAUUCUUACGUGAUCUG